RNAcentral lists this ribosomal RNA (255 nucleotides) under uncultured bacterium. RNAcentral's name for it is "partial 16S ribosomal RNA". It matches the Rfam family "Bacterial small subunit ribosomal RNA", at positions 98 to 353 of the family's 1533-position model. The record is from RNAcentral.
CGGGACGGGUGAGUAAUGUCUGGGAAACUGCCUGAUGGAGGGGGAGUAACUACUGGAAACGGUAGCUAAUACCGCAUAACGUCGCAAGACCAAGAGGGGGACCGUUCGGGCCUCUUGCCAUCAGAUGUGCCCAGAUGGGAUUAGCUAGUAGGUGGGGUAACGGCUCACCUAGGCGACGAUCCCUAGCUGGUCUGAGAGGAUGACCAGCCACACUGGAACUGAGACACGGUCCAGACUCCUACGGGAGGCAGCAUG